UUCCCGACCAACUUCUCCAGCCAUGUACAUC
This 31-nucleotide non-coding RNA is filed under the name Homo sapiens (human). The record is from RNAcentral. Lineage: Eukaryota; Metazoa; Chordata; Mammalia; Primates; Hominidae.